This 301-nucleotide ribosomal RNA is filed under the name uncultured bacterium. RNAcentral's name for it is "partial 16S ribosomal RNA". It matches the Rfam family "Bacterial small subunit ribosomal RNA", at positions 509 to 807 of the family's 1533-position model. The record is from RNAcentral.
CAGUAGCCACGGGAAUACGGAGGGGGCUAGCGUUGUUCGGAAUUACUGGGCGUAAAGCGCACGUAGGCGGCUUGGUAAGUUAGAGGUGAAAGCCUGGAGCUCAACUCCAGAAUUGCCUUUAAGACUGCCGAGCUAGCAGGUGAGAGAGGUAAGUGGAAUUCCGAGUGUAGAGGUGAAAUUCGUAGAUAUUCGGAAGAACACCAGUGGCGAAGGCGGCUUACUGGCUCAUACUGGACGCUGAGGUGCGAAAGCGUGGGGAGCAAACAGGAUUAGAGACCCCUGUAGUCCCUGUCUCUUAUAC